CCUACGGGCGGCAGCAGUGGGGAAUAUUGGACAAUGGGCGAAAGCCUGAUCCAGCCAUGCCGCGUGUGUGAAGAAGGCCUUCGGGUUGUAAAGCACUUUCAGUGGGGAAGAAAGCCUUGGGGCUAAUACCCUCGAGGAAGGACAUCACCCACAGAAGAAGCACCGGCUAACUCCGUGCCAGCAGCCGCGGUAAUACGGAGGGUGCGGGCGUUAAUCGGAAUUACUGGGCGUAAAGCGCGCGUAGGCGGUCUGAUAAGCCGGUUGUGAAAGCCCCGGGCUCAACCUGGGAACGGCAUCCGGAACUGUCAGGCUAGAGUGCAGGAGAGGAAGGUAGAAUUCCCGGUGUAGCGGUGAAAUGCGUAGAGAUCGGGAGGAAUACCAGUGGCGAAGGCGGCCUUCUGGACUGACACUGACGCUGAGGUGCGAAAGCGUGGGUAGCAAACAGGAUUAGAUACCCCAGUAGUC
RNAcentral lists this ribosomal RNA (465 nucleotides) under Vreelandella stevensii. Its description in RNAcentral is "partial 16S ribosomal RNA". It matches the Rfam family "Bacterial small subunit ribosomal RNA", at positions 338 to 795 of the family's 1533-position model. The record is from RNAcentral. Lineage: Bacteria; Pseudomonadati; Pseudomonadota; Gammaproteobacteria; Oceanospirillales; Halomonadaceae.